CAGAGAAUAGUUUAUUUAAAAUAUUAAUUUUGGAGAUUAAUGAUAAGAGGGUUUCUUUUCUCUGA
Molecule: transfer RNA, 65 nt
Filed under: Tritoma bipustulata
Lineage: Eukaryota; Metazoa; Arthropoda; Insecta; Coleoptera; Erotylidae
Description: tRNA-Pro
Source: RNAcentral